This 902-nucleotide long non-coding RNA is filed under the name Cricetulus griseus (Chinese hamster). RNAcentral's name for it is "lncRNA (ENSCGRG00015033670.1)". Lineage: Eukaryota; Metazoa; Chordata; Mammalia; Rodentia; Cricetidae. The record is from RNAcentral.
GUUCCAAAUCCACUCUCUAGCAGCGUGUCACGGUACUUAAACUAUGCCAACCUGCCGCCAUCCUAUGGAGCGCUGCCUACUUUAUUUUUCAAAGUGAAAGGAGCACCAGGCUUUUCUGACGCGUGGAGAACUUUCGCUAGACCCUCUUUACUUUGCAGAGCUGCCCCAGCGGAGCCCAAAUCUCUAUACCAUCAGCGCCUUGCCACUGAAUCCUUAACUGUGGGCGAACCCCAAGGCUACACCAAGUGGCUAGGUGUUGAGUGUUGGAGACAAGGAACAAUUAACAUUGAGACAAAAGCUGGGUGGAUACCAUCUCCCAUCUCCAUAGAGUUCAUUCUUGACCUUACCUGGCUUGGUCUUGAUCCCUUUGCUCAUCACUCCUCCAUCUCUGCAACUGGAUUCCAGGAGUUUGGCUCAAUGCUUAGCUGUGGAUCUCUGCUUCUGCUUCCAUCAGUUACUGGAUGAAGGCUCUAGGAUGGCAUUUAAGAAACACCUGACCUGAGCAAGUGGGAGCUCAUGGACCGAAGCCAGACAGCUGGGGGACCAGCAUAGAACCAAACUAGAUCUCUUGAUCUUAGGUACCAAUUAGGAGGCGUGGGCAGUCUAUGGGGCCUCUUGUGGUCUAACCAGUAUUUAUUCCAGCACGAAUGGACUUUGGGAGCCCAUUCCUCCAUGGAGGGAUACUCUCUCAGCCUAAAUACAUGGGGGGAAGGCCUAGGCCCUGCCUCAAAUGAUGUGAAAGACAUUGAUGGUCCCUCGUGGAAUGCCUCACCCUCCCUGGGGAGUGGAUACGGAGUAGGGGGAAUUUUGUGGGGACCAUGGGAGGAUGGGAGGGAGAGGGAACUGAGAUUGAUAUGUAAGAUAAGAUUGUUUCUAAUUUAAAUAAAAACACAGAAAAAAGA